CAGAACUACGCACAUACAUUUAUAUAUAAAUGCUAUACUUGACAUAAUCUCUCCAUUGACUUGGACCAAUAAGCCACCACGUUGCUUACCAACACCCUAGAAACCACCCAGAGCAUCCUAGCAACUGCAUAACAACACCUUAGCAACCAGCCACACCCACAGCUCUAAUAACUCAUCAGAUUUCCCCAUUCUGAUUUUCACCUGCUUCGGAUGGGGUUUCCAUGGCAACAAGCAUGUAGCAGGAACUGAUGGCAUUGUUGGAAGAUGUCUCUCAUGGAGCGCUGAGGACUUCCUCCCUCUCUCUCUCUCUCUCUCUCUCUCUCUCUCUCUCGGCACAGUAUCAGAAGAAUCCUAAACGGUUUGCUGAGGGUAUCGACGGCUUCCCUACAUGCGUGCUGUCAGCUCUCAGACGCUCACACGCAGCUCUGAUAUCUACAACAGAUGUUUGCUGCUACUACACAUAAUGUGUUUGUUAUAUCACAUACUGAAAUAAAUCAUGUAAAUAGUCUUGAAUACAUAGAUCUUUAGUCGCUCAUCUGCAGCAUAAUGCAGUACAGAAGAAGUGACAUGAAGUUCAGCCUAUUAGCAGUGAAACCAGUAAUGCUUGCUUUUUCUAGCAUUUUAGUAUUAUUUAUUUCUUUUUUAUUGAUUAUUAUCAUUAAUAACUUCUGCAUCUUGAAGGAGGCAUUUGUUAAGAAGAUGGAUGAAACGUCUUUAGUUUUUGCAGGUGGCUCGUUCGUGAUGGUUGUGGGGUUUGAUGGGAGAUUGAAGAAGCACUAAACUUUCUUUGGGAAAGUUUGAAGUCUGAAGUGCUUUCAGGACGUCCGAAGUGGACGACAGCAGCGAGAGCGUCUGAAGGCACGGUGACAGAUGGAGAAACAUCAGGCGUUUGUGUUCAUCCAGCACAGCCGUGCGUGUCCCCCGACACAACAUACUCUCAGCUGUGGGCUCUUCCAGAACCUGCUCUCAGAGGAAGAGGAUUUAAAGGGCAACCGGGAAGGAAUCUGACUCCUUAUAAUAUGGGCUCAGCAAGACCUCUGAUCACUAAAUGCCAAGCCGGCUCCUGUCACUGUGCUGUAUGACAGCUUAAUAAUGGCUUUCCCAGCUGCUGUUUCACUGACGGAGGUGAAUUCAGUUCAGUGUGCUUACAGGAGUUUGAAGAUGAUGCACUUUUUCUGGAAACUCAUCUAGUGAACGAGUGAACAUGUGGGCCAGACUGACAGGACACCCUGAAGAGAGAGACACAUCAGUUCAGAGUCAUGCUGUCAAUCCAGCACCAACCUGGUGCUCCAGCAUCCGCUGACCUUCGUUCAUCUCCAAGGAUGUGAGAGCUAAGGGAGCAGUUCUCCUCUCCACCUUUGCUCACAGGCGAGUUUUCUUUCUGUUUGAGUCUGUUCAUUAAGCUCUACAGAAACGGCAGGAUAUCGAGUGUCCUGGUGCGUCUUCUGAAAGAUUCCCCAGGGCAACACACCAUCAGAGAUCCCAUUAAUGGAUUUACACUUCAUUAAGCGUUUGACCAAAAUCCAUUUUUAAAAAGAGGCCAUUAUUUAAAAUCAUUUUGGUGUAUUUAAUCUCAAUCUUUGGUGGUGAACACUGAGUAAAAUAAAAUAAAAUAAAAUAAAAUAAA
Carassius gibelio (silver crucian carp) is the source of this 1627-nucleotide long non-coding RNA. RefSeq lists it as uncharacterized. NCBI's taxonomy places the organism in Eukaryota, Metazoa, Chordata, Actinopteri, Cypriniformes, Cyprinidae. The record is from RefSeq and is a predicted model, not a curated record. The transcript has 5 exons.